RNAcentral lists this ribosomal RNA (253 nucleotides) under uncultured bacterium. Its description in RNAcentral is "partial 16S ribosomal RNA". It matches the Rfam family "Bacterial small subunit ribosomal RNA", at positions 524 to 776 of the family's 1533-position model. The record is from RNAcentral.
UACAGAGGUCUCAAGCGUUGUUCGGAUUCAUUGGGCGUAAAGGGUGCGUAGGCGGCGCGGUAAGUCGGGUGUGAAAUCUCGGAGCUUAACUCCGAAACUGCAUUCGAUACUGCCGUGCUCGAGGACUGGAGAGGAGAUUGGAAUUCACGGUGUAGCAGUGAAAUGCGUAGAUAUCGUGAGGAAGACCAGUGGCGAAGGCGGAUCUCUGGACAGUUCCUGACGCUGAGGCACGAAGGCCAGGGGAGCAAACGGG